AACCCGGUGAUCUAGCCAUGGGCAGGUUGAAGGUUGGGUAACACUAACUGGAGGACCGAACCGACUAAUGUUGAAAAAUUAGCGGAUGACUUGUGGCUGGGGGUGAAAGGCCAAUCAAACCGGGAGAUAGCUGGUUCUCCCCGAAAGCUAUUUAGGUAGCGCCUCGUGAACUCAUCUUCGGGGGUAGAGCACUGUUUCGACUAGGGGGUCAUCCCGACUUACCAACUCGAUGCAAACUACGAAUACCGAAGAAUGUUAUCACGGGAGACACACGGCGGGUGCUAACGUUCGUCGUGAAGAGGGAAACAACCCAGACCGCCAGCUAAGGUCCCAAAGUCAUAGUUAAGUGGGAAACGAAGUGGGAAGGCUCAGACAGCCAGGAUGUUGGCUUAGAAGCAGCCAUCAUUUAAAGAAAGCGUAAUAGCUCACUGGUCGAGUCGGCCUGCGCGGAAGAUGUAACGGGGCUAAACUAU
This 473-nucleotide ribosomal RNA is filed under the name Providencia rettgeri. RNAcentral's name for it is "partial 23S ribosomal RNA". It matches the Rfam family "Bacterial large subunit ribosomal RNA", at positions 719 to 1190 of the family's 2925-position model. Lineage: Bacteria; Pseudomonadati; Pseudomonadota; Gammaproteobacteria; Enterobacterales; Morganellaceae. The record is from RNAcentral.